This 821-nucleotide ribosomal RNA is filed under the name uncultured eukaryote. RNAcentral's name for it is "SSU rRNA". It matches the Rfam family "Eukaryotic small subunit ribosomal RNA", at positions 21 to 872 of the family's 1831-position model. The record is from RNAcentral.
GGUAUAUGCUUGUCUCAAAGACUAAGCCAUGCAAGUCUAAGUAUAAGUUAUUCUGAAGACGAAACUGCGAAUGGCUCGGUAAAACAGCAAUAAUUUCUUCGGUGAUGAGUUUACUCACGGAUAUCCGUAGUAAUUCUAGAGCUAAUACGUGCUGAGAAAAGGUGGGGCUCACGCUCCAUCGUGCCGUUUAGAUAACAACACCAACAUUUGGUGAUUCAUAAUCGUCUUUCUGAUCGCCUCGUGCGACGCACCGUUCAAAUUUCUGACCUAUCAACUUUCGAUGGUAAGGUAGUGUCUUACCAUGGUGGCAACGGGUAACGGACCGUGGGUGCGGGACUCCGGAGAGGGAGCCUGAGAAACGGCUACCACAUCCAAGGAAGGCAGCAGGCGCGCAACUUGCCCAAUCCAGACUCUGGGAGGCAGUGACAAGAAAUAUCAAUAGGGGAUCCUAUGGGUCUUCUAAUUGGAAUGAGAACAAGCUAAACAGCUUAUCGAGAAUCCAGCAGAGGGCAAGUCUGGUGCCAGCAGCCGCGGUAAUUCCAGCUCUGUAAGCGUAUACCAAAGUUGUUGCAGUUAAAACGCUCGUAGUCGGAAUUUGGCAGUUCCGGAAGUGUGCACGUCGUGUGCGCACUUUGCAGGGACUGCUUUUGUGGUCUUGCGUAGGAUGAGGCACUUUUAUUAGUGAACGUCCUCACGCAACCACUCUUUACUGUGAGAAAAUCAGAGUGCUCAAAGCAGCAUUUGCCGUGAAUGUAUUAGCAUGGAAUAAUAGAUAGGACUCGGUUCUAUUUUGUGGUUUGUUGGGACUGAGUAAUGAUUAA